AAUUCACUGGCAAACCAGCCGCGUGGUCUCACCCAACCACAAGACCAGGGAGCAGAAUCUUACCGUGUGCCCAGAAGACAGAGAACUAGGACCAUUUAGAGCAGGGCUCCCCGGCCUCCAGGACCUAACGCCUGAUGAGCUGAGAUGGAGUUGAUGUAACAGUAACAGAAAUAAAGUGCACAGGCAGGCUGAAACUCCAGGACUGGGCAGCCUGGGGCAAUCAUCUCCUCUAUCUCUCUGACUCAUGGGCAGCAAUGGGAGAUCAUGCAGGAAGAACAGGACUGGACGAGUGAGGCAAAGGAGGCAGCUGACUUGGCAUCAACCUGAAGGGAGCGCCAAGUGAGUCGGUGAUCGAGAUACCUUAAUGCAGCAUUUUAGAAAAUCAAAAUUAUUGCAAAAAAAAAAAAAAUCUAUGAUGAACAAAUUAGCAAAUCCUCAAAUAAAGACAGAAUCUGUUCUCCGGAUCUUUCCAUCCGCCUCGGGCUCCAGGAGGGCUCACAGGGCAGUUCUGUAUCUCACCAGUCUGGCCCCGAGGAGAGCCCCGGAGCUGACCCAGGGGCACUGGCCACAUCAGCCAGGGGCCGGGCGGCACGAGGACCUGGGGUCCAGAAGCAGGUCAUCACCAAGAAUUCCAUGGCCCUGAGGAAAACGGCAAACUCCAGUGCCAACUGUGACUCCUUCAACCCCGGGGGAGAAGACUGGCUCACGCACGUUUCUCUGCCGUGAUGGAGGUGGGCACUGGGCUGGGAACCCACCCUGCCCUCAAGGGGCCACCAUCUUUGAGCUGAGGCCCAUAUGGACAGGAACGAGGGAUUAUGGGAUUCUCUGGUUGGACUUCAAAGGAAAACAGUGACGCCAGGGGAGACUAGAGCUCAGCUUCAGAGCAGUGAAUCAGGUGAAACAGGCCUGGCUGCUCCUGGGUGUUCUUUCCCCACACAGCCAAGGAUGCAACUUCCCACCUCUAGAUUCCUGAGCAACGUGACAGGACGCCCCCCGAGGAUGUCUCCCACCCUGAGAUGCUGGGGUCCCUCCACAGACAUGUCAUCACACCAAGUUGACACCCGGGGCUUGGCAUCCUCCGCCUCGCCCACAGAAGCCCAGCUGGGGUGAUGGGGUUUAUCUCCAAGGCAAACAGAGCCACCCCCAUUAUCCAUGACUGGCUGUGUUUACUGAUGACAUC
Long non-coding RNA from Bos taurus (domestic cattle), 1180 nucleotides. The record is from Ensembl. Lineage: Eukaryota; Metazoa; Chordata; Mammalia; Artiodactyla; Bovidae.